AUACCCUACUAUGCUUAACCAUAAACUUUGUUAAAACCCAUACUAUUUUACCCGCCCGAGUACUACAAGCGCUAGCUUUAAACCCAAAGGACUUGGCGGUGCCCCAGACCCCCCUAGAGGAGCCUGUUCUAUAACCGAUAAUCCUCGUUUAACCUCACCACUUCUUGCCAUUAACCGCCUAUAUACCGCCGUCGUCAGCUCACCCCAUGAGGGAACAAAAGUAAGCAAAAUGAAUUAAAUCUCCAACACGUCAGGUCGAGGUGUAGCGAAUGAAGUGGAAAGAAAUGGGCUACAUUUUUUACCAAAAAAAAUAAAACGAACAGCACAAUGAAAAACUGCUUAAAGGUGGAUUUAGCAGUAAGAAAAUCUUAGAAUACUAUUCUGAAACUGGCUCUGAGGCGCGCACACACCGCCCGUCACUCUCCUCAACACAAACAUCUCCAUACAUAAACAAGCUCUUUACCAAAGAGGAGGCAAGUC
RNAcentral lists this ribosomal RNA (480 nucleotides) under Rhynchobatus australiae (whitespotted wedgefish). RNAcentral describes it as "partial small subunit ribosomal RNA". It matches the Rfam family "Bacterial small subunit ribosomal RNA", at positions 782 to 1487 of the family's 1533-position model. Lineage: Eukaryota; Metazoa; Chordata; Chondrichthyes; Rhinopristiformes; Rhynchobatidae. The record is from RNAcentral.